AGUCUAUUUGAAAAUUACAUGAUAACUAUCUUACAAACAGUGGAAGCACCCUUACUUAAAGGCUUUUACACCCAUGUAUAUGGUUUAAAUCCCAAACUAUACACUUUCUUGCAGAUUAUAAGAUGCAAGCUUUCGGGGGUUCCAGAGUACUGUAGGCUGAGCAGUUCGUUGUGAUCGCAUGCUACGGAGAGAGCAUGUACAUUGAUGAUGCGUACAUGCAGA
RNAcentral lists this long non-coding RNA (222 nucleotides) under Brassica napus (rape). RNAcentral's name for it is "long non-coding RNA (BNAP_LNC023028)". Lineage: Eukaryota; Viridiplantae; Streptophyta; Magnoliopsida; Brassicales; Brassicaceae. The record is from RNAcentral.